GUUGCCCAGAGAUGGUCACCCAAGAGGGGGGUGAAUUGGGUGUUUUAAAACUUUUUGUCCAAUUAAAAAUAAAACACACAAAUGUAUGAGCUAAGGUAAAAAUAGAGGUAUGAAAACAGACAAUCGCAAACACAAGGUUUUAUAGUGGUUCGGAGCUUCCACUGCUCCUACAUCCACUCUCCAAAGCACCUUUGGGAAUUUCCACUAUAAUCCAAGAUUACAGUCCGGUAGUUUUGCGAGUGCACUACCCAACUCGUUGUUUUACACCGGGCUAACAACGAACCCUACAACCUCCAAUUUCACCUAGGCUUGGGACACCUUUUCCUUGUUCCAAGUCCCUUGACUGGAACAAGCACAAUAACCAAAGGUUUUACAAAAGAUUUGAAAGCUCUAAAUAAGCAGAUAAAACAGUGAGAAAUAACAAAACCCGGAAGAACCCUUUUAGCCGUUGGAAGCGUGGGAAAUGGUGGUUCUUCCAAUGUGGAUCGCGUUGUCUUGAAUGUGAGCUUUGAAUGCCGAUCGGGAGAGAGUAGUUGAGCUCGAAAUCAGUUGGGAAGCUUGAAAGUACUUGAUUUCUUCACUUGNNNNNNNNNNNNNNNNNNNNNNNNNNNNNNNNNNNNNNNNNNNAAAUGAUCUUGUGUUGGGUUAGUGAGAAGUUGUUGGAAGGCACUUAAGAGCUCCCUUUUAUAGCCCAAAAAGCAAAUAUAGCCGUUAGACACAAAAAAAGAAAUGUUUGAAAUUCAAACAAACCUGCAAAAAGGUGUCAGUCGCGUCCCAGGCGCUCCGGAGACGUCUCCGCUUCAACGCGAGACGUCUCGGCUGUAAGAUUUUUCUUUUGACGUUGUUUGGGGUCGACUCGGCGCUUUACGGGGAUGACUCUGAUGAUGAACCGUUUGAAUGCUUGUUUUUCUAUUUUUCUGAGAGGGUCGCCUCGCCACUUUACGGGGACGUCUUGGGAUGUUUGCACUUUUUGCAUGGGGACGACUCCGCUGCCUCGGGGACGACUCCGCUGUUUUAUCUUCGAAAAACAAGUUCUCUGGAAUUCUCUGAGAGAGUUGACUCCGCUUUUUUCAGGGGACGUCUCCGCUGCCUUAUCAUCGAAAAAGACAUCCUCUGGAAUACCCUGAGAGAGUCGACUCCGCUACCUCGGGGACGACUCCAGAAGUCUGCUUUUUACUCGCGGGGACGACUCCGCGUCCUGUGGAGACGACUCACGCGCAUCCCUUGAAAUCGGCCUUUCUGCCGCCUCUGAGAGAGUCGACUCCGCCUCUGAGAGAGUUGUUGCCCAGAGAUGGUCACCCAAGAGGGGGGUGAAUUGGGUGUUUUAAAACUUUUUGCCUAAUUAAAAGUAAAACUCACAAAUGUAUGAACUAAAGUACAGAUAGAGGUAUGAGAACAAUCAAUCCCAAACACAAGGUUUUAUAGUGGUUCGGAGCUUCCACUGCUCCUACAUCCACUCCCCAAAGCACCUUUGGGAAUUUCCACUAUAAUCCAAGAUUACAGUCCGGUAGUUUUGCGAGUGCACUACCCAACUCGUUGUUUUACACCGGGCUAACAACGAACCCUAUAACCCCCAAUUUCACCUAGGCUUGGGACGCCUUUCCCUUGUUCCAAGUUCCUUGACUGGAACAAGCACAAUAUUGAAAAAGUUUUACAAGGAUUUAAAAGCUCUCAAGAAGCAAAUAAAACAGUGAGAAGUAAUAGAACCCGAAAGAACCCUUUUAGCCGUUGGAAGCGUGGAAAAUGGUGGUUCUUCCGAUGUGGAUCGCGUUGGCUUGAAUGUGAGCUUUGAAUGCCUAGCGGAAGAGAGUAGUUGAGCACGAAAUCACUUGGGAAGCUUGAAGGCACUUGAUUUCUUCACUUGAAUGCACUAACUCCCUUGAACCUCUUUUUCUUUCUUCUCUCUUGAAUAAUCUUGUGUUGGGUUGGUGAGAAGUUGUUGGAAAGCACUUAAGAGCUCCUUUUUAUAGCCCAAAAAGCAAAUAUAGCCGUUAGAGAUAAAGUUAAGGGAGUUUGAAAUUCAAACCAAACCUGAAAAAAUUGUCAGUCGCGUCCCAGGCGCUUCGGAGACGUCUCCGCUUCAAUGCGAGACGUCUCGGCUGUAAGAUUUUACUUUUGACGUUGUUUGGGGUCGACUCGGCGCUUUACGGGGACGACUCCGAUGAUGAACGGUUUGAAUCCUUGUUUUUCUAUUUUUCUGAGAGGGUCGCCUCGGCACUUUACGGGGACGUCUCGGCUUGUUUGCGCUUUUUGUAUGGGGACGACUCCGCUGCCUUGGGGACG
RNAcentral lists this long non-coding RNA (2283 nucleotides) under Phoenix dactylifera (date palm). RNAcentral's name for it is "long non-coding RNA (PDAC_LNC012204)". The stretch from base 1145 to 1194 matches the Rfam family "Guanidine-II riboswitch aptamer (mini-ykkC)". The record is from RNAcentral. Lineage: Eukaryota; Viridiplantae; Streptophyta; Magnoliopsida; Arecales; Arecaceae.